UGGCUUAUGAUGAUAAUUUAAUUAUCUUAGCGGAUUUCAGUGAGAUUCCAAUCAAUGAUCUCAAUGUUACACACACUCAGGCCA
Lathyrus oleraceus (garden pea) is the source of this 84-nucleotide small nucleolar RNA. RefSeq annotates it as small nucleolar RNA R11/Z151. Lineage: Eukaryota; Viridiplantae; Streptophyta; Magnoliopsida; Fabales; Fabaceae. The record is from RefSeq and is a predicted model, not a curated record. The transcript has a single exon.